Molecule: ribosomal RNA, 2930 nt
Filed under: Klebsiella variicola
Lineage: Bacteria; Pseudomonadati; Pseudomonadota; Gammaproteobacteria; Enterobacterales; Enterobacteriaceae
Description: 23S ribosomal RNA
Rfam family: Bacterial large subunit ribosomal RNA
Source: RNAcentral
GGGUUGUGAGGUUAAGCGACUAAGCGUACACGGUGGAUGCCCUGGCAGUCAGAGGCGAUGAAGGACGUGCUAAUCUGCGAAAAGCGUCGGUAAGGUGAUAUGAACCGUUAUAGCCGGCGAUGUCCGAAUGGGGAAACCCAGUGCAAUUCGUUGCACUAUCGUUAACUGAAUACAUAGGUUAACGAGGCGAACCGGGGGAACUGAAACAUCUAAGUACCCCGAGGAAAAGAAAUCAACCGAGAUUCCCCCAGUAGCGGCGAGCGAACGGGGAGCAGCCCAGAGUCUGAAUCAGCUUGUGUGUUAGUGGAACGGUCUGGAAAGUCCGACGGUACAGGGUGAUAGUCCCGUACACCAAAAUGCACAGGCUGUGAACUCGAAGAGUAGGGCGGGACACGUGGUAUCCUGUCUGAAUAUGGGGGGACCAUCCUCCAAGGCUAAAUACUCCUGACUGACCGAUAGUGAACCAGUACCGUGAGGGAAAGGCGAAAAGAACCCCGGCGAGGGGAGUGAAAAAGAACCUGAAACCGUGUACGUACAAGCAGUGGGAGCACCUUCGGGUGUGACUGCGUACCUUUUGUAUAAUGGGUCAGCGACUUAUAUUCUGUAGCAAGGUUAACCGUAUAGGGGAGCCGCAGGGAAACCGAGUCUUAACUGGGCGUUAAGUUGCAGGGUAUAGACCCGAAACCCGGUGAUCUAGCCAUGGGCAGGUUGAAGGUUGGGUAACACUAACUGGAGGACCGAACCGACUAAUGUUGAAAAAUUAGCGGAUGACUUGUGGCUGGGGGUGAAAGGCCAAUCAAACCGGGAGAUAGCUGGUUCUCCCCGAAAGCUAUUUAGGUAGCGCCUCGUGAAUUCAUCUUCGGGGGUAGAGCACUGUUUCGGCUAGGGGGUCAUCCCGACUUACCAACCCGAUGCAAACUACGAAUACCGAAGAAUGUUAUCACGGGAGACACACGGCGGGUGCUAACGUCCGUCGUGAAGAGGGAAACAACCCAGACCGCCAGCUAAGGUCCCAAAGUCAUGGUUAAGUGGGAAACGAUGUGGGAAGGCACAGACAGCCAGGAUGUUGGCUUAGAAGCAGCCAUCAUUUAAAGAAAGCGUAAUAGCUCACUGGUCGAGUCGGCCUGCGCGGAAGAUGUAACGGGGCUAAACCAUGCACCGAAGCUGCGGCAGCGACACUAUGUGUUGUUGGGUAGGGGAGCGUUCUGUAAGCCUGCGAAGGUGGCCUGUGAGGGCUGCUGGAGGUAUCAGAAGUGCGAAUGCUGACAUAAGUAACGAUAAAGCGGGUGAAAAGCCCGCUCGCCGGAAGACCAAGGGUUCCUGUCCAACGUUAAUCGGGGCAGGGUGAGUCGACCCCUAAGGCGAGGCCGAAAGGCGUAGUCGAUGGGAAACAGGUUAAUAUUCCUGUACUUGGUGUUACUGCGAAGGGGGGACGGAGAAGGCUAUGUUAGCCGGGCGACGGUUGUCCCGGUUUAAGCAUGUAGGCGGAGGUUCCAGGUAAAUCCGGUACCUUUUAACGCUGAGGUGUGAUGACGAGGCACUACGGUGCUGAAGUAACAAAUGCCCUGCUUCCAGGAAAAGCCUCUAAGCAUCAGGUAACAUUGAAUCGUACCCCAAACCGACACAGGUGGUCAGGUAGAGAAUACCAAGGCGCUUGAGAGAACUCGGGUGAAGGAACUAGGCAAAAUGGUGCCGUAACUUCGGGAGAAGGCACGCUGGUGUGUAGGUGAAGUCCCUGCGGAUGGAGCUGAGACCAGUCGAAGAUACCAGCUGGCUGCAACUGUUUAUUAAAAACACAGCACUGUGCAAACACGAAAGUGGACGUAUACGGUGUGACGCCUGCCCGGUGCCGGAAGGUUAAUUGAUGGGGUUAUCCGUAAGGAGAAGCUCUUGAUCGAAGCCCCGGUAAACGGCGGCCGUAACUAUAACGGUCCUAAGGUAGCGAAAUUCCUUGUCGGGUAAGUUCCGACCUGCACGAAUGGCGUAAUGAUGGCCAGGCUGUCUCCACCCGAGACUCAGUGAAAUUGAACUCGCUGUGAAGAUGCAGUGUACCCGCGGCAAGACGGAAAGACCCCGUGAACCUUUACUAUAGCUUGACACUGAACAUUGAGCCUUGAUGUGUAGGAUAGGUGGGAGGCUUUGAAGCGUGGACGCCAGUCUGCGUGGAGCCAACCUUGAAAUACCACCCUUUAAUGUUUGAUGUUCUAACGUUGGCCCCUAAUCGGGGUUGCGGACAGUGUCUGGUGGGUAGUUUGACUGGGGCGGUCUCCUCCCAAAGAGUAACGGAGGAGCACGAAGGUUAGCUAAUCCUGGUCGGACAUCAGGAGGUUAGUGCAAUGGCAUAAGCUAGCUUGACUGCGAGCGUGACGGCGCGAGCAGGUGCGAAAGCAGGUCAUAGUGAUCCGGUGGUUCUGAAUGGAAGGGCCAUCGCUCAACGGAUAAAAGGUACUCCGGGGAUAACAGGCUGAUACCGCCCAAGAGUUCAUAUCGACGGCGGUGUUUGGCACCUCGAUGUCGGCUCAUCACAUCCUGGGGCUGAAGUAGGUCCCAAGGGUAUGGCUGUUCGCCAUUUAAAGUGGUACGCGAGCUGGGUUUAGAACGUCGUGAGACAGUUCGGUCCCUAUCUGCCGUGGGCGCUGGAGAAUUGAGGGGGGCUGCUCCUAGUACGAGAGGACCGGAGUGGACGCAUCACUGGUGUUCGGGUUGUCAUGCCAAUGGCACUGCCCGGUAGCUAAAUGCGGAAGAGAUAAGUGCUGAAAGCAUCUAAGCACGAAACUUGCCCCGAGAUGAGUUCUCCCUGAGACUUUAAGUCUCCUGAAGGAACGUUGAAGACGACGACGUUGAUAGGCCGGGUGUGUAAGCGCAGCGAUGCGUUGAGCUAACCGGUACUAAUGAACCGUGAGGCUUAACCUUACAACGCCGAAGCUGUU